UACGUAGGGGGCAAGCGUUGUCCGGAUUUAUUGGGCGUAAAGAGCUCGUAGGUGGUUCGGUAAGUCGGAUGUGAAAUCUCCAGGCUCAACCUGGAGGGGUCAUUCGAUACUGCCGUGACUAGAGUUCGGUAGGGGAGUGUGGAAUUCCUGGUGGAGCGGUGAAAUGCGCAGAUAUCAGGAGGAACACCAGUGGCGAAGGCGGUGCUCUGGGCCGGAACUGACGCUGAGGAGCGAAAGCGUGGGGAGCAAACAGG
Molecule: ribosomal RNA, 254 nt
Filed under: uncultured bacterium
Lineage: Bacteria
Description: partial 16S ribosomal RNA
Rfam family: Bacterial small subunit ribosomal RNA
Source: RNAcentral